UUAUUCUACAUAUAUCCCUACUAAUAUCGCCAACCAGAUGAGUGUUCGAACGAGAAUUCGUGAUAGACAAGCGCAUUAACAACUAAUAGGUGAUUUGGUUGAACAUAUAUGGCGUAAAUUCAGAGGUGAUCAAGACAACAACUGAGCUUCGAUGCCGCUUUGAAAUUAUUAUCGUUCAUUUACGUAAUAUUUGUUUUAAUGUUUUUAUGUUCUAUUUUAAAAUCUAUGCUUAAAAUGUUAUGUUUGACUUUGUUUUAUUUAAUAAAUAAAUUUA
RNAcentral lists this long non-coding RNA (274 nucleotides) under Brassica napus (rape). Its description in RNAcentral is "long non-coding RNA (BNAP_LNC026090)". The record is from RNAcentral. Lineage: Eukaryota; Viridiplantae; Streptophyta; Magnoliopsida; Brassicales; Brassicaceae.